RNAcentral lists this ribosomal RNA (775 nucleotides) under uncultured Neocallimastigales. RNAcentral's name for it is "partial large subunit ribosomal RNA". It matches the Rfam family "Eukaryotic large subunit ribosomal RNA", at positions 16 to 649 of the family's 3401-position model. Lineage: Eukaryota; Fungi; Neocallimastigomycota; Neocallimastigomycetes; Neocallimastigales. The record is from RNAcentral.
UAUGUGAUCGUCCUCUCGCAUAUCAAUAAGCGGAGGAAAAGAAACUAACAAGGAUUCCCCUAGUAACGGCGAGUGAAGCGGGAAGAGCUCAAAUUUGAAAUCUUAAAGGGUUUCCCUUUACGAAUUGUAGUUUAAAGAAGUGUUUUCUGUUGAGGUUUUGGUAAAAGUUCUUUGGAAUAGGACAUCAUAGAGGGUGAGAAUCCCGUAUUUGACCUUUACUUUCAACUUUGUGAUACACUUUCAAAGAGUCGGAUUGUUUGGGAAUGCAGUCCAAAAUGGGUGGUAAAUUUCAUCUAAAGCUAAAUAUUGGCGAGAGACCGAUAGCGAACAAGUACCGUGAGGGAAAGAUGAAAAGAACUUUGAAAAGAGAGUUAAACAGUACGUGAAAUUGUCAAAAGGGAGGCGUUUGACACCAGUGUUGUUUUUCUGAAAAUCAAUUAAAGAACUGUUUAUGCUAAGUUGUUUAGACUUUAUCAGCUAACUGUUUAGUUUUGAGCUUUUCUUUAAUGCACUUUUCAGUUAACAAGUCAACAUCAAUUUCUUUUGCUGUAAAAAAGCUUGAGGAAGGUGGCUUGAGAUUCGUCUUAAGUGUUUAUAGCCUCUUGCCUAUGCAGUCGGAGAGAUUGAGGUCUGCAGCGUAGAUCCUUCGGGGCUAAAUGCAUUUGUGCUAAGUUAUAACAUUUUAUAGACAACUUGUUGACUAUGAUUUGUCUUGUAGCUUACUCGCUUAUGUUAUUUUACCUACGCUUAGGAUGUUGAGUAGCGACAUACGCAC